Long non-coding RNA from Lates calcarifer (barramundi perch), 683 nucleotides. RefSeq lists it as uncharacterized. Lineage: Eukaryota; Metazoa; Chordata; Actinopteri; Centropomidae. The record is from RefSeq and is a predicted model, not a curated record. The transcript has 8 exons.
GCUAGUCCUGCUCGCUGCGCGUUGUAGUCACCCCGCCCCCGCCCCGCUACGUCAGGUGACGUGAAAUGGCUGAAGUUUGCACUAUUGCCAAAGAGGGAAAACUUCGAAACUACCGAGUAGCUGCUGCCGAGUAGCAUCGCCUGCUUCCGUCUGGACGCUGGAUAUUGUGUCUUUCCAAGGAGGAGGUGUCACCACUUUGUCCACAAUCGCCGAGACGCCGUCCACAAUGAGAGAGACAUUGUCCACGGCUCACAAAGACACAGUCAAAAGUCGCAGUGACAGAGUUCCCCGAUUUGACGACAUCGUCCACUAGCAGAGAGACAUCAUCCACAAUCACAGAGAGUCUUCGUACAAUGAAGUAGUUGUUUGGGACCAGGACAGAGGCCUCCAGCUGAAUUGACAGAAACAACAGGAUCUGCCAAAGGCGAAGGUUUACUGGUUCAGCUGCUGCAGCCUGGACACAAACAGCAGCUCCCACCUUACAAACCAAACAGGUCUUCUCCUUCUGCACAGACAACAACACGCAUUGAUCACACAAACUCAUCUGUGUCUCCACUUCACGUCCACGAUCAGAGAAUCUUUGUACAAUGAAGGAAUUGUUUAGACCAGGACAGAGGCCUCCAGGGGUAUCCAGGGGGACUAGUUUUGGCAGACAGACGAGACCGGGCUCCCGCCGCCACGGA